AAGAGCUCUGGAAACUGAAGUCCUCUCUUUAUCCACAGAGAAGGUACACAGCCCAGGUGGCAGCUGUCUCAGCUUCCCCAUUCUGUCUCAGCCCUGACCUAGAGAGAGAACUUCUUCUAUUCAUGGCCUCACUCUGUGUGAGAU
RNAcentral lists this small RNA (144 nucleotides) under Chrysemys picta bellii (western painted turtle). Its description in RNAcentral is "TUC338 (ENSCPBG00000002270.1)". The record is from RNAcentral. Lineage: Eukaryota; Metazoa; Chordata; Testudines; Emydidae.